This 87-nucleotide transfer RNA is filed under the name Rhipilia penicilloides. Its description in RNAcentral is "tRNA-Met". It matches the Rfam family "tRNA". Rfam says of the family: Transfer RNA (tRNA) molecules are approximately 80 nucleotides in length. Their secondary structure includes four short double-helical elements and three loops (D, anti-codon, and T loops). Lineage: Eukaryota; Viridiplantae; Chlorophyta; Ulvophyceae; Bryopsidales; Halimedaceae. The record is from RNAcentral.
GCAUAUAUGGCUGAGCGGUCGAAAGCACUGGACUCAUAAUCCAUUUCCUCUUAGGGGACAUCGUAGGUUCAAACCCUACUAUAUGCA